This is a non-coding RNA of Dipodomys ordii (Ord's kangaroo rat), 70 nucleotides long. Lineage: Eukaryota; Metazoa; Chordata; Mammalia; Rodentia; Heteromyidae. The record is from Rfam.
GGUAAGGUGGUUCAGUGGUAGAGUGCUUGCCUUGCAUGCAUGAGGCCCUGGGUUCGAUUCCUCAGCACCA